CUCCUACGGGAGGCAGCAGUAAGGAAUAUUGGUCAAUGGACGAGAGUCUGAACCAGCCAAGUAGCGUGAAGGAUGACUGCCCUAUGGGUUGUAAACUUCUUUUAUACGGGAAUAAAGUGAGCCACGUGUGGCUUUUUGUAUGUACCGUAUGAAUAAGGAUCGGCUAACUCCGUGCCAGCAGCCGCGGUAAUACGGAGGAUUCGAGCGUUAUCCGGAUUUAUUGGGUUUAAAGGGAGCGUAGGCGGGUUGUUAAGUCAGUUGUGAAAGUUUGCGGCUCAACCGUAAAAUUGCAGUUGAUACUGGCGACCUUGAGUGCAACAGAGGUAGGCGGAAUUCGUGGUGUAGCGGUGAAAUGCUUAGAUAUCACGAAGAACUCCGAUUGCGAAGGCAGCUUACUGGAUUGUAACUGACGCUGAUGCUCGAAAGUGUGGGUAUCAAACAGGAUUAGAUACCCUGGUAGUCCACACAGUAAACGAUGAAUACUCGCUGUUGGCGAUAUACAGUCAGCGGCCAAGCGAAAGCAUUAAGUAUUCCACCUGGGGAGUACGCCGGCAACGGUGAAACUCAAAGGAAUUGACGGGGGCCCGCACAAGCGGAGGAACAUGUGGUUUAAUUCGAUGAUACGCGAGGAACCUUACCCGGGCUUAAAUUGCAACUGACGGAACCGGAAACGGUUCUUUCUUCGGACAGUUGUGAAGGUGCUGCAUGGUUGUCGUCAGCUCGUGCCGUGAGGUGUCGGCUUAAGUGCCAUAACGAGCGCAACCCUUAUCGAUAGUUACUAGCAGGUUAUGCUGAGGACUCUAUUGAGACUGCCGUCGUAAGAUGUGAGGAAGGUGGGGAUGACGUCAAAUCAGCACGGCCCUUACGUCCGGGGCUACACACGUGUUACAAUGGGGGGUACAGAAGGCAGCUACACGGCGACGUGGUGCUAAUCCCGAAAGCCUCUCUCAGUUCGGAUUGGAGUCUGCAACCCGACUCCAUGAAGCUGGAUUCGCUAGUAAUCGCGCAUCAGCCACGGCGCGGUGAAUACGUUCCCGGGCCUUGUACACACCGC
This 1054-nucleotide ribosomal RNA is filed under the name uncultured bacterium. Its description in RNAcentral is "bacterial SSU rRNA". It matches the Rfam family "Bacterial small subunit ribosomal RNA", at positions 336 to 1393 of the family's 1533-position model. The record is from RNAcentral.